This 91-nucleotide non-coding RNA is filed under the name Lentilactobacillus parafarraginis. Its description in RNAcentral is "Lactobacillus parafarraginis TPP sequence". It matches the Rfam family "TPP riboswitch aptamer (THI element)". From Rfam's summary of the family: Vitamin B(1) in its active form thiamin pyrophosphate (TPP) is an essential coenzyme that is synthesised by coupling of pyrimidine and thiazole moieties in bacteria. The previously detected thiamin-regulatory element, thi box was extended, resulting in a new, highly conserved RNA secondary structure, the THI element, which is widely distributed in eubacteria and also occurs in some archaea. RNAcentral also lists the same sequence under 1 other name. The record is from RNAcentral. Lineage: Bacteria; Bacillati; Bacillota; Bacilli; Lactobacillales; Lactobacillaceae.
GAAUACUGUCUGGGGUGCCGCUUGCGGCUGAGAUAUACCCAUUGAACCUGAUGCAGUUCGUACUGUCGGAGGAAGACGAUAAUCAAGUAAC